UGUUUAACGGCCGCGGUAUUUUAACCGCGCGAAGGUAGCGUAAUCACUUGUCUUUUAAAUGGAGACCUGUAUGAAUGGCAUAACGAGGGUCUGACUGUCUCCUACACCUAGUCAAUGAAAUUGAUCUGCCCGUGCAGAAGCGGGCAUACCUACAUAAGACGAGAAGACCCUAUGGAGCUUUAGGUAAAUGAUCAAGCGAAACAAGUCACGGCCAUAGUAAAGGCCUAGAAAAACAAGAACUAAUGAUCAAGAUGCCUUCGGUUGGGGCGACCAUGGAGGAAACAAAAGCCUCCAAGUGGAAAGGGAAAACCCUUGAACUAAGAGAGACACCUCGAAGUAACAGAAUUUGUGACCAAAUAUGACCCAGGAUUUUAACCUGAUCAACGAACCCAGUUACCCUAGGGAUAACAGCGCAAUCCUCUCCCAGAGUCCCUAUCGACGAGGGGGUUUACGACCUCGAUGUUGGAUCAGGGCAUCCUAAUGGUGCAGCCGCUAUUAAGGGUUCGUUUGUUCAACGAUUAA
This 522-nucleotide ribosomal RNA is filed under the name Gymnothorax meleagris (turkey moray). Its description in RNAcentral is "partial 16S rRNA". It matches the Rfam family "Bacterial large subunit ribosomal RNA", at positions 1921 to 2591 of the family's 2925-position model. The record is from RNAcentral. Lineage: Eukaryota; Metazoa; Chordata; Actinopteri; Anguilliformes; Muraenidae.